GGUGCAGGUGGCUUUGUAAGUCAGGUGUGAAAUCCCAGGGCUUAACCCUGGAAGUGCAUUUGAUACUGCGAAGCUUGAGUGCUGGAGAGGCUAUUAGAAUUCCAGGUGUAGUGGUGAAAUACGUAGAUAUCUGGAGGAACACCGGAGGCGAAGGCGGGUAGCUGGCCAGACACUGACACUCAGACCCGAAAGCGUGGGAUCAAACA
This 206-nucleotide ribosomal RNA is filed under the name uncultured bacterium. Its description in RNAcentral is "partial 16S ribosomal RNA". It matches the Rfam family "Bacterial small subunit ribosomal RNA", at positions 568 to 774 of the family's 1533-position model. The record is from RNAcentral.